Molecule: non-coding RNA, 30 nt
Filed under: Mus musculus (house mouse)
Lineage: Eukaryota; Metazoa; Chordata; Mammalia; Rodentia; Muridae
Source: RNAcentral
UCUUAGGAAAGGGAUCAUAGUCAUUAUUUU